AGUGAACGCUGGCGGUAGGCCUAACACAUGCAAGUCGAACGGCAGCACAGUAAGAGCUUGCUCUUACGGGUGGCGAGUGGCGGACGGGUGAGGAAUACAUCGGAAUCUACUUUUUCGUGGGGGAUAACGUAGGGAAACUUACGCUAAUACCGCAUACGACCUACGGGUGAAAGCAGGGGAUCUUCGGACCUUGCGCGAUUGAAUGAGCCGAUGUCGGAUUAGCUAGUUGGCGGGGUAAAGGCCCACCAAGGCGACGAUCCGUAGCUGGUCUGAGAGGAUGAUCAGCCACACUGGAACUGAGACACGGUCUAGACUCCUACGGGAGGCAGCAGUGGGGAAUAUUGGACAAUGGGCGCAAGCCUGAUCCAGCCAUACCGCGUGGGUGAAGAAGGCCUUCGGGUUGUAAAGCCCUUUUGUUGGGAAAGAAAGGCAGCAGGUUAAUACCCCGCUGUUCUGACGGUACCCAAAGAAUAAGCACCGGCUAACUUCGUG
Molecule: ribosomal RNA, 492 nt
Filed under: uncultured bacterium
Lineage: Bacteria
Description: partial 16S ribosomal RNA
Rfam family: Bacterial small subunit ribosomal RNA
Source: RNAcentral